ACAUCUGAGAACAUGCAACUGGUUUCCUUUCUUUCUUCUCCCACUGCAAUCCUCUAUAUAAAGAAAAUAUCUCACGUUCAUAUAUAUAUAGCUUCUUAUACUAUCUCUUUCUUUUUCUUAUUUCAGACUUGUAAUUGGAAGAGAAAAUGGCAAUUUCUUCCUUUUCUUCCAGGGCUUUUUUUGGAGUUUUGGUGUUCUUUGCUCUAGUCUCUGCUAUUGUUUCAUCUGCUUCGGUUAAGUAUCUAAGUGAUCGUGCUCCACCUCCUGUAAUAAUGGAACAACCAUGUGGAAGUUUAAGCAAAACUUGGCAUGGGAGAUGCAGAAGGUCACAUAACUGUAAUAGGCAUUGCAAGAAUGAUGAGCAGGCAAUAAGUGGAGCAUGUCAUGGGAUUUGGACAAAGAAGUGCUACUGCUAUUACAAAUGCGACUCAUGAGUGCAAGACAAUGAAAAACUCAUCAUUAUUGAACAAUUGUCUGUUUUUUUUUUUGUUUUUUACAAGGAAUAUAAUUAUCUUGAUAGGGAUUAAUUUUGCUGUUUUAUAGGAUGUUUUGUUUGUUUUAAGACCAUUUUAUAAGUUUCUCUGUCAACAUGUACAAUGUUGAUCAGAUUUGGUGAUUCUCAUAUGCUUUUGGAAAGAUGAAAAAUUUGAAAAUAACUUGGACUAAGUGCAAUCCAUUAAUGGUUUCUAACAUAUCAAUUAAUAUUGGAAAAAAAAUUCUUCAAAAUGGCUGAAAUCAGCAAAAGAAUGAAGUGGAAGAUGGUGAUUUUAUUAGAAAUAUCUCCAUGGGCUUUCUCUAGCUAGUUUGAACAUUUUUUUUAAUGGAUAUUUUUACAAUGAAGCUUGAGAAAAAAUAAAUAUAGAUCGAGUUAACUACAAGUAGUACCCCUGGCCUCUAACUAUCAUCUUGAUGCUGCAUGGCAUAGUGGGUCGUUGAUUCUACUGUUCUACAAGUACAAAACUCACAACUCUUUCACAAAACCAAGAAAUUCAAUGAUGGGUAGGAAAACAGAAGAAAAAUCACUCAUAGACUAUUUAUUAUGGAAAAAUUAAUAAUAACAACAAAGUUUUUAGGGCAGUCGAUCAAGCCAACCUUAUUAGGCUUAAAUAGAAGUAGGGUCUAACUCUGAAAAAUAAAUUACAAAACUACAUUGCCGCAACUCGGUCGAACGAGACAGAGCAUCAUCAUGUGAUAACAACCCUUCUGGAACAACCUCCGUGAUAUCGACAAAAGCUCUCGAGAAUUCAUAUUGAUGCUUAUCUUGUCGCCUCGUUCGAGAACAGAUAAUUGUCACUUCAGGCGUAUCGGAUCCUUUAGGAAGCAAUGGGGCCAGCUGAUUUUGCUUACUUCUCUUUACGAUCAGAGAUGAUGUAAUUAGGUGAUCAAGAGAUUUCAGCUUCAUAAUAUGUCUACUAUUUGUAUAAAAAGUAUAUAUAUUAUGAAGCUGCUUGUUGAUUUGUAGAAUAUUCUAAUUAAACCUUUAGUGACCAGAGUCAUACAAUUUCUUUAA
RNA transcript from Alnus glutinosa, 1510 nucleotides. RefSeq lists it as uncharacterized. The transcript is spliced from 3 exons. The record is from RefSeq and is a predicted model, not a curated record. Lineage: Eukaryota; Viridiplantae; Streptophyta; Magnoliopsida; Fagales; Betulaceae.